ACCAACAUGAAGAGAUCAGUUCCUGUAAAAAAAAGGCAAUUUGAGCACAUUACAGGCUUGUGUCGGUUAGGAGUGGAUUGGAGGGAUUGCUAGUCAAAUUUGAAUAGAAAGGGAUUUAAUCCCCAUCAAUCCGGUGUGAUGAUUAUAUGUGCGGCUCGGUGGCACAUAUCAUAUCAGUGGUGUUAUCUUUCCACUUGGUGAUCUAUGCAAUGGUGCUGACCACACAUAUUCCAAGGGCACUCCCUUAAAACCAUUUAUCAGGCUAACCUUCAGACACAGAUGAGGAUUCUGUUUCUAGUUUGGAGUACUUAACUAGGAUUUGCAUGUUUUCUUCUCUUGCAAAAGGAUGUCUUUCAGCCAACAAAGCACUCAUAUCGCAAGCACCUAAAGCAGCCUCUUCUGGUAGGUUGUACAGAUACCUAGACUGCCCAAGACAGUGAUCAUGUGCAUUAUGCAAACUCAGAGUUUCCAUCCACUUUUUCGUGAAUCCUCUCCCAAUUAUAAACCAAGUAUAGUGACGGUGGUUGGGGAACCAUACUCAUCUGGUCAUCUUCUCACCGCCUUCCUAUCAUCUUCCAAUCUCUUCGAUCGAGCACCCAGAGCAACAAAUAUCCAGCCCUGUCACACAUUCCGACUCAAGCACGCACAAAACCCUUUCAAUCAAGCGUCCAGACUCCAGAUGAGGUUUAAACCAGUAGGAUCUGAAGGAAGCCUUGAGCGAUUCCAAAACGGCGAAGGGACAUGGAUGUCAUCACGGGGCUGGGGCAUACCGGGUGGAGGGGCCGUGCAGAGA
This 793-nucleotide unclassified non-coding RNA is filed under the name Zea mays. RNAcentral's name for it is "misc RNA Zm00001eb186460". Lineage: Eukaryota; Viridiplantae; Streptophyta; Magnoliopsida; Poales; Poaceae. The record is from RNAcentral.